This 497-nucleotide ribosomal RNA is filed under the name uncultured bacterium. RNAcentral describes it as "partial 16S ribosomal RNA". It matches the Rfam family "Bacterial small subunit ribosomal RNA", at positions 28 to 507 of the family's 1533-position model. The record is from RNAcentral.
GAUGAACGCUGGCGGCGUGCCUAAUACAUGCAAGUCGAGCGAACGGACGAGAAGCUUGCUUCUCUGAUGUUAGCGGCGGACGGGUGAGUAACACGUGGAUAACCUACCUAUACGACUGGGAUAACUUCGGGAAACCGGAGCUAAUAACGGUUGAUAUUUUGAACCGCAUGGUUCAAAAGUGUAAGACGGUCUUUCUUUCGCUUAUAGAUGGAUCCGCGCUGCAUUAGCUAGUUGGUAAGGUAACGGCGUACCAAGGCAAUGAUGCCUCGACGACCUGAGAGGGUGAUCGGCCACCCCGGAACUGAGACACGAACCAGUCUCCUACGGGAGGCAGCAGCAGGGAGUCUUCCGAAAUGGGCGAAUACCUGACGCAGCACCGCCGCGUGGUUGAUGAAGGUCUUCGUCUCGUAAAACUCUGUUAUCAGGGAAGAACAUAUGUGUAAGUACCUGUGCACAUCUUGACGGUACCUAAUCAGAAAGCCACGGCUAACUACGUG